UUUUUGGGCUUGGUAAUUGGAAUGAGGGAGAGUUAAACGGACCAUCGAGUAUCCAUUGGAGGGCAAGUCUGGUGCCAGCAGCUGCGGUAAUACCAGCUCCAAUAGCGUAUAUUAAAGUUGUUGCAGUUAAAAAGCUCGUAGUUGGACUUGUGUGCGCUGUCCGCGGGUGGCCUGCGCCCAAAAGGGCGUUUCGGUUCGGCCCCGGUGGCGCCUUGAAAUCUGCAGCUGGGGGGACGUUGGCCUUAACUGGUCGGCGACCGCACGCCGGCUGCUCGGUUACUGUGAGAAAAUUAGAGUGUUCAAGGCAGGCAUUGGGUGCAAUUGAAUACAUUAGCAUGGAAUAAUAAAAUAUGGCUCCUGCCGUAUUUUGUUGGUUUUGACUGGUGGGAGUAAUGAUUGAUAGGGACGGUUGGGGGUGCUAGUAUUGAGCGGCCAGAGGUGAAAUUCAUGGAUUCGCUCAAGACUAACUUAUGCGAAAGCAUUCACCAAGGACGUCCUCUUUAAUCAAGAACGAAAGUUGGGGGAUCGAAGACGAUCAGAUACCGUCGUAGUCUCAACCAUAAACUAUGUCGACUUGGGAUCGGCGGUAGUUUUUUCAUUAAGACACUGUCGGGACCACGGGAGAAAUCAAAGUGUCUGGACUCUGGGGGAAGUAUGGUCGCAAGGCUGAAACUUGAAGGAAUUGACGGAAGGGCACCACCAGGAGUGGAGCCUGCGGCUUAAUUUGACACAACACGGGGAAACUUACCAGGUCCAGAGAUGUAGGGGAUUGACAGAUUGAAGCUCUUUCUUGAUCACUUCGGUGGUGGUGCAUGGCCGUUCUUAGUUGGUGGAGUGAUUUGUCUGGUUAAUUCCGUUAACGAACGAGACCUCAGCCUGCUAGUGUAGUCGGCUGGAUUGCCUUUGGCGAUCCGUGAUUUCGACUUCUUAGAGGGACAAUCGACGCGCAGUCGAUGGAAGUUUGAGGCAAUAACAGGUCUGUGAUGCCCUUAGAUGUUCUGGGCCGCACGCGCGUUACACUGCUGGGCUCAGCGAGUUUUACUUGGCCGAGAGGCCCGGUUAAUCUUGUGAAAUCCCAGCGUGCUUGGGCUCGCCUCCUGCAACUGGAGGCGCCAACGAGGAAUUCCUAGUAGACGCAGGUCAUCAACCUGCAUCGAUUACGUCCCUGCCCUUUGUACACACCGCCCGUCGUUCCAUAAGAGUGAGGCAUCCGGUGAAUUCUCGGGAGAGCCUGGGCGUGGCCAGCAAUGGUCUGCUCGGGUUUGAACUUGCAUAAACUUGGUGCCUAUGAUUAGGG
This 1297-nucleotide ribosomal RNA is filed under the name metagenome. RNAcentral's name for it is "SSU rRNA". It matches the Rfam family "Eukaryotic small subunit ribosomal RNA", at positions 493 to 1783 of the family's 1831-position model. The record is from RNAcentral.